RNAcentral lists this transfer RNA (76 nucleotides) under Allocoprobacillus halotolerans. Its description in RNAcentral is "Erysipelotrichaceae bacterium LH1062 tRNA-Asp". It matches the Rfam family "tRNA". From Rfam's summary of the family: Transfer RNA (tRNA) molecules are approximately 80 nucleotides in length. Their secondary structure includes four short double-helical elements and three loops (D, anti-codon, and T loops). Lineage: Bacteria; Bacillati; Bacillota; Erysipelotrichia; Erysipelotrichales; Erysipelotrichaceae. The record is from RNAcentral.
GGUCUGGUAGUUCAGUUGGUUAGAAUGCCGCCCUGUCACGGCGGAGGUCGCGGUUCGAGCCCCGUCCAGACCGCCA